AGACCAUGUUGUGGAAAUUGUUGGAUCAUCCCUUUAUAUCUUUCCCAUGCUUCAUAAUAGCACUCUGAAUGAAGCUAAGAGAAUGUAGUGAUUUCAUCUCUCAACUU
This 107-nucleotide small nucleolar RNA is filed under the name Olea europaea subsp. europaea. RNAcentral's name for it is "Plant small nucleolar RNA R71". It matches the Rfam family "Plant small nucleolar RNA R71". Rfam says of the family: R71 is a member of the C/D box family of snoRNAs containing the C (UGAUGA) and D (CUGA) box motifs. Multiple nearly identical copies of this snoRNA have been identified in Arabidopsis, and it is thought to function as a 2'-O-ribose methylation guide for 18S ribosomal RNA. The record is from Rfam by way of RNAcentral. Lineage: Eukaryota; Viridiplantae; Streptophyta; Magnoliopsida; Lamiales; Oleaceae.